RNAcentral lists this ribosomal RNA (438 nucleotides) under uncultured bacterium. RNAcentral describes it as "partial 16S ribosomal RNA". It matches the Rfam family "Bacterial small subunit ribosomal RNA", at positions 339 to 795 of the family's 1533-position model. The record is from RNAcentral.
CUACGGGCCGCACCAGUGAGGAAUAUUGCACAAUGGGGGGAACCCUGAUGCAGCAACGCCGCGUGGAGGAUGACGCAUUUCGGUGUGUAAACUCCUUUUAUAUAUCAAGAAAAUGACGGUAGCAUAUGAAUAAGCACCGGCUAACUCCGUGCCAGCAGCCGCGGUAAUACGGAGGGGCAAGCGUUACUCGGAAUCACUGGGCGUAAAGGACGCGUAGGCGGGUUGGAAAGUCAGGUGUGAAAUCCUACAGCUUAACUGUAGAACUGCACUUGAAACUUCUAAUCUAGAGUAUGGGAGGGGGAGAUGGAAUUAGUGGUGUAGGGGUAAAAUCCGUAGAUAUCACUAGGAAUACCUAAAGCGAAGGCGAUCUCCUGGAACAUUACUGACGCUAAGGCGUGAAAGCGUGGGGAGCAGACAGGAUUAGAUACCCUCGUAGUC